ACUCAAAUGAAUUGACGGGGACCCGCACAAGCAGCGGAGCAUGUGGUUUAAUUCGAAGCAACGCGAAGAACCUUACCAGGUCUUGACAUCCCAAUGAUUGGUAUAGAGAUAUACCUUUCCUUCGGGACAUUGGAGACAGGUGGUGCAUGGUUGUCGUCAGCUCGUGUCGUGAGAUGUUGGGUUAAGUCCCGUAACGAGCGCAACCCCUAUAUUUAGUUGCCAUCAUUAAGUUGGGCACUCUAGAUAGACUGCCGGGGAUAACUCGGAGGAAGGUGGGGACGACGUCAAAUCAUCAUGCCCCUUAUGGCCUGGGCUACACACGUGCUACAAUGGCCGGAAACAACGGGAAGCAAAGCCGCAAGGUGGAGCAAAUCCUUUAAACCCGGUCCCAGUUCGGAUUGUGGGCUGCAACUCGCCCACAUGAAGUCGGAGUUGCUAGUAAUCGCGGAUCAGCACGCCGCGGUGAAUGCGUUCCCGGGUCUUGUACACACCGCCCGU
RNAcentral lists this ribosomal RNA (498 nucleotides) under uncultured bacterium. Its description in RNAcentral is "bacterial SSU rRNA". It matches the Rfam family "Bacterial small subunit ribosomal RNA", at positions 899 to 1397 of the family's 1533-position model. The record is from RNAcentral.